GACGAACGCUGGCGGCGUGGAUUAGGCAUGCAAGUCGAACGGUAGGAUACCUUCGGGUAUCUGAGAGUGGCGAACGGGUGAGUAACACGUAGGUGAUCUACCCUCAAGAUUGGGACAACCCAGGGAAACUUGGGCUAAUACCGGAUGAAAGCAGCAGUGAUGUUGUUUGAAAGGUGGCGUAAGCUGCCGUUUGGGGAUGAGCCUGCGCUCUAUUAGUUAGUUGGCGGGGUAAAGGCCCACCAAGGCGAUGAUAGAUAGGCGGCCUUAACGGGUGGUCGCCCACACUGGGAUUGAGAUACGGCCCAGACUCCUACGGGAGGCAGCAGUCGAGAAUAGUCUACAAUGGCCGAAAGGCUGAUAGUGCGACGCCGCGUGAACGAAGAAGCCCUUCGGGUGUAAGUCUUUAUAUGUGAGCAGUGCUUUCUAUGUGAACAGCAUGGGGAGAGAGAUAUUAGCAUAUGAAUAAGCAACGGCUAACUCCGUGCCAGC
This 489-nucleotide ribosomal RNA is filed under the name uncultured bacterium. RNAcentral describes it as "bacterial SSU rRNA". It matches the Rfam family "Bacterial small subunit ribosomal RNA", at positions 28 to 512 of the family's 1533-position model. The record is from RNAcentral.